UUUUAUGAUUUUUAGUUAUAAAUAAUUUAAUCAAUGCUUAAAUUUUAGUUUCGCAGUGUGUGGUGUUGGUGAAUGGCGUGGAGGUCGACAAGAAUAUGGAGGAUUACCUGAAAAGUAAGAAAUAAUGAUUUUAAAAGCCCUCGUACAUACAGUGGAUCACAACUGACAACUUUCAAUCUGUAUAGUGGAUAAACUAAAAGAGGGUUAAAAACUUCCGAGGACGGAUUGGAAUCGCCUCCAGUGAAAGUGAAGCGUAGGGUCAUUUUAAGAAAACUACAAAUAAUGUUCAUGGAAUUGCAACUACUGCGGUCAGUAACGGAUGGAAACACAACAAAUCUGCUGGACCACCGUAAACAGCUGCAUCCGGUUCGGUUAAAAUCUGAAAAAAAAACCAAAUGCCAAAAGCGA
Drosophila sulfurigaster albostrigata is the source of this 408-nucleotide long non-coding RNA. RefSeq lists it as uncharacterized. The record is from RefSeq and is a predicted model, not a curated record. NCBI's taxonomy places the organism in Eukaryota, Metazoa, Arthropoda, Insecta, Diptera, Drosophilidae. The transcript is spliced from 2 exons.